AAGUAUCAAUGACUCUCACGUGCUCCGGGGAUCUUUCAGCUACCACCCCAUUAUCAAGCCUUCCUUCUUCUAACAGGACUCGUAAUUCCUCACGCUUUGUGGCCAUAUGCUUGCUCAGAUUAGCACGUGACCAGAUUUGAGUGUAUCUCCAAGCAUGCACGAUCUCUUUCUUGUACUUGCUUUCCAAAUUGAGUACUUGUUGUCCCGCCACCUUGACCCUGUCAAUCCAUGCUUCACAUUCCUUGGUAACCCUCUUCAUCUUGUUUUUGUUGAUUUCUGCCUCUACAUCAUCCCUUCUUGCAUAGAGCAUUUUUGCUUGGUCGGUCAUCUUCUCAAAAUUGACCUUGAAACCAUCAGCAUA
RNAcentral lists this long non-coding RNA (361 nucleotides) under Eucalyptus grandis. RNAcentral's name for it is "long non-coding RNA (EGRA_LNC005352)". The record is from RNAcentral. Lineage: Eukaryota; Viridiplantae; Streptophyta; Magnoliopsida; Myrtales; Myrtaceae.